GCGUGCGCAUACGACCACAUGAUAUACAUGCGUGAAUCAAAGAACGCUUUAAUGAACUGUGUUUGACUCGAACAAGUGUGGACUUACUUGUCAUAAUUUAAUUGUUACCUCUUGGAAAAUACGAAUAUGCUUAAAAACCCGCCAAAUCAUGGCUACACGUUUCAUCUCAGCUAUCGCUAUUAGACGGUUACUUCAUUAUACGAAAAUACAAUGAGCUCAUUCACCGUGACCGUGCACAAAUUAACAUAAACUCAGACAAAAACAUAAUACAAUGACUUCUGUUUAGUUUCCAGACCAUCAUAUCUUGAUAGACUAUGAUCAGUGUCAUUUUGGAUCAUGUGUCUCAUGGUACUUUUCUUUCUGGCUUUCAAAUCUGCUGUGAACAUCAUCGAAAAUGCCACUGGAAAAUACAUUCCUAUUUCCUCGCAGGGAACUUGCCAUCUUACCAGACAAAAUGUGUUUCAUCUGGGCUUCUACGCAUGAUAGAAAGUUUCGAAAGUUCACUCUUCCCGACAAACAUCGCUACGGACUGCAUGGAGUUUCAAAUAUCUCGCAAAUGUUCUCUUGCUGAUGACAUAGCUAUCAACACAGGUCCUAUAGUCGUCUCACUUGAAUUCUCCGUUGACAAUUCAACAACUUCCCGAGCCUUGUGGUUACCCAAUAGAUCACUACAUGGUGUAGUUUGAAGUGAAGCUGAAAAGAGCUAAGUCAGUAAAGUCUUGAGUAUUUGAGUUUCAGGAAAAGGAAAUUUCGAUGAGCCACUGUAUGUAACUUUCUGACACGAUUCCUCAUCAAUGUUACUCCAACUGACAGUAUUGAUGACUUGGAACAAUGUAGGGCUACUUUCAGGUACAUCCCGAUGAGAACGGUCAAACACACAAAUAGUCCACUAUGGAUCGAUAGUGAAUUGUGUCGUCUAAUCUGUAAGAUGUACAAAGUUCUAAAGCAAUAUUGCAUGAACAAAUCUGCUGAUCGAAAUUGUAAAUUACGAAGCAUUACUCAAUAAAUCAAAUAGGAUUCGAAGGAAACACAGGCUAAAAUAGAAAUUUCAUUCUGUGACAACCCCAAACUAUUCUGCAGUUACCAUAAAUCAAUUAUUCACCACCAGACGGGUUGGAUCAAUGAAAUAGCAUAUGUCACAGCGUUGGACGGAGAAAGAAAAAGCAGAUCUUUUUAACACCUACUUUUCUUCAGUAUUUCGUCCACCUUCUACCAUGCACCCGUAACUACACGUUUCGAACGGAAAGUGAAGGGAACAUCUCGGAAAUAAGUCUUGUUGUAGACGAAGUUGUGCAAUUUUUGUGUGCUCUUGAAACCUCAAAAGAAUGUGGCCCUGACAGCAUACCUCCUCGCCUCUUACAAGUAUGCGGCCUUGAAAUCACACCAAGCGUCUGUGAGUCGUUUAACCGUUCCUUGCACACUGGUCAUGUUCCCUCCGGGUGGAAAUGUGCGAAUGUCACACCCAUCCAUCUUGCGUUACUCAACUACUAUCAGUACUACACGGUAUUGGAAAUCCCUAAACAAAAACAUUCAACCUGACGUUAUCAACCUCGAUUUUGCGAAAGCAUUCGACUCUGUCGAUCACCAAAUUCUUCCCCCACAAGCGCGCAUCAUAUAUGGUGUGCCAGGUCAGUUAUACGAAUGGCUUGUGGACUAUCUCAGUGCUCGUUGUUAAUAAUAUAAAAAUAUAAAGUAAA
Molecule: non-coding RNA, 1697 nt
Organism: Paramuricea clavata
Lineage: Eukaryota; Metazoa; Cnidaria; Anthozoa; Malacalcyonacea; Plexauridae
Source: the annotation of a GenBank genome assembly